This 1346-nucleotide ribosomal RNA is filed under the name uncultured bacterium. RNAcentral's name for it is "partial 16S ribosomal RNA". It matches the Rfam family "Bacterial small subunit ribosomal RNA", at positions 28 to 1381 of the family's 1533-position model. The record is from RNAcentral.
GACGAACGCUGGCGGCGUGCUUAACACAUGCAAGUCGAACGGAAAGGCCCUGCUUUUGUGGGGUGCUCGAGUGGCGAACGGGUGAGUAACACGUGAGUAACCUGCCCUUGACUUUGGGAUAACUUCAGGAAACUGGGGCUAAUACCGGAUAGGAGCUCCUGCUGCAUGGUGGGGGUUGGAAAGUUUCGGCGGUUGGGGAUGGACUCGCGGCUUAUCAGCUUGUUGGUGGGGUAGUGGCUUACCAAGGCUUUGACGGGUAGCCGGCCUGAGAGGGUGACCGGCCACAUUGGGACUGAGAUACGGCCCAGACUCCCACGGGAGGCAGCAGUGGGGAAUAUUGCACAAUGGGCGGAAGCCUGAUGCAGCAACGCCGCGUGCGGGAUGACGGCCUUCGGGUUGUAAACCGCUUUCGCCUGUGACGAAGCGUGAGUGACGGUAAUGGGUAAAGAAGCACCGGCUAACUACGUGCCAGCAGCCGCGGUGAUACGUAGGGUGCGAGCGUUGUCCGGAUUUAUUGGGCGUAAAGGGCUCGUAGGUGGUUGAUCGCGUCGGAAGUGUAAUCUUGGGGCUUAACCCUGAGCGUGCUUUCGAUACGGGUUGACUUGAGGAAGGUAGGGGAGAAUGGAAUUCCUGGUGGAGCGGUGGAAUGCGCAGAUAUCAGGAGGAACACCAGUGGCGAAGGCGGUUCUCUGGGCCUUUCCUGACGCUGAGGAGCGAAAGCGUGGGGAGCGAACAGGCUUAGAUACCCUGGUAGUCCACGCUGUAAACGGUGGGUACUAGGUGUGGGGUCCAUUCCACGGGUUCCGUGCCGUAGCUAACGCUUUAAGUACCCCGCCUGGGGAGUACGGCCGCAAGGCUAAAACUCAAAGGAAUUGACGGGGCCCCGCACAAGCGGCGGAGCAUGCGGAUUAAUUCGAUGCAACGCGUAGAACCUUACCUGGGUUUGACAUGGAUCGGGAGUGCUCAGAGAUGGGUGUGCCUCUUUUGGGGUCGGUUCACAGGUGGUGCAUGGCUGUCGUCAGCUCGUGUCGUGAGAUGUUGGGUUAAGUCCCGCAACGAGCGCAACCCUUGUUCACUGUUGCCAGCACGUUAUGGUGGGGACUCAGUGGAGACCGCCGGGGUCAACUCGGAGGAAGGUGGGGAUGACGUCAAGUCAUCAUGCCCCUUAUGUCCAGGGCUUCACGCAUGCUACAAUGGCUGGUACAGAGAGUGGCGAGCCUGUGAGGGUGAGCGAAUCUCGGAAAGCCGGUCUCAGUUCGGAUUGGGGUCUGCAACUCGACCUCAUGAAGUCGGAGUCGCUAGUAAUCGCAGAUCAGCAACGCUGCGGUGAAUACGUUCCCGGGGCC